GAGUUUGAUCCUGGCUCAGGAUGAACGCUGGCGGCGUGCUUAACACAUGCAAGUCGAACGAAACACCUUAUUUGAUUUUCUUUGGAACUGAAGAUUUGGUGAUUGAGUGGCGGACGGGUGAGUAACGCGUGGGUAACCUGCCCUGUACAGGGGGAUAACAGUCAGAAAUGACUGCUAAUACCGCAUAAGACCACAGCACCGCAUGGUGCAGGGGUAAAAACUCCGGUGGUACAGGAUGGACCCGCGUCUGAUUAGCUGGUUGGUGAGGUAACGGCUCACCAAGGCGACGAUCAGUAGCCGGCUUGAGAGAGUGAACGGCCACAUUGGGACUGAGACACGGCCCAAACUCCUACGGGAGGCAGCAGUGGGGAAUAUUGCACAAUGGGGGAAACCCUGAUGCAGCGACGCCGCGUGAAGGAAGAAGUAUCUCGGUAUGUAAACUUCUAUCAGCAGGGAAGAAAAUGACGGUACCUGACUAAGAAGCCCCGGCUAACUACGUGCCAGCCGCCGCGGUAAUUC
This 519-nucleotide ribosomal RNA is filed under the name uncultured bacterium. Its description in RNAcentral is "bacterial SSU rRNA". It matches the Rfam family "Bacterial small subunit ribosomal RNA", at positions 9 to 526 of the family's 1533-position model. The record is from RNAcentral.